GAGGGUCCGCUAGGGCCGGCGUCUCGGGUCCCGGGGAGGCGCGGCCCCGAGGGGGAGGCCGGCCCCGCGGCCGCACCGCCGCCCGCCUCACCUCGUCCACCGUGCGGCGCGGGAGGUGCAGCGUCCCGAGCAGCAGCUUGAGCUUCACGGCCGACGAGAGGCCGUGGAAACAGAGGCGGAUGUUGUCGAUAACCGCAGCCGUGAGCAGGGACGCGAUGCUGGGCGGCGCCCACAGCUCGUCCGUGGCCCCCAGCUUGUUGUGCAGCCACAGGCCCGUGUCGCUCUCCCGCAUGGACGCCAUCUUGAGGGGGAAAAAGCCGGCCACCGCCGAGCCGGCAUCUUAUGAGGACACCUACGCGCCCGCGGCGAGGACCCUCAACAUGGCUGCGCCCGCAGGGCGAACGGCGGUGACGUCACCAGAGGAGGCGGGGCCUCGGAGAGACGCUUCGCGGCGGCGCGAGGACCGGCCGUCGGCCGCCGUAACGUAACAUGGCGGCGCCCGUGGCCGGAUCUCGAGGGCCGCGGAAGAUGACGUUAGCAGAGGAGUGGGCUGGCUCGGCCGACCUACGCCCCCUUCAGCCCUGAAGUGGACGGAACCCCGACGCGGCGGCUGGCGAGAGCCCCCGCCCCUCCACGGACGGCCGCCGGGGGGCGGCCAGGACGCCGGCGUCCCGCGCCGCUGGGAGCGAGGUUGUCGAGGUCAGAAAGACAUUUAGGGAAAUAUUUGCCAAAUAGAGUCGGGUGGGGUCCAGUUCUCGUCCGUUCCCUAGACAGCCCGCGUGCGCUGACCACCUGCGACGUGCCUGGCACAGUUCCAGUUGCUGGGGACACAGUGUGCUUUGUCCCAAGACAGGACUGAGUGAUGACGCCCGCGGCUGACCCGCGUCCUCGGGCUUAGCUGCAGGCGACCUUCUCCAGGCCGGCUUCCUUGCCUGCGCCCAGAGAUCUGUGUCAUAGCGCAGAAUCGGGCUAGUACCUCUUGUGGAUGAGGACAGCAAACUUGGAGGUGCUCCCAAGCUUGUUGGCAGACCGAGAGGGGUGGGGACUGGUGUACCAGGCGUGGCCGGGGCCCUUUUCCGAGGAGGGCACGCUGCCCCUCAAGUGAAAAGAAGUCGCAUGCAGUGAGCAGGAGGAAGGGUGCCCCAGACAGGGGGCAGCUCGUGGUGCAGGGGGGGCCCCCAGCCCGGCCUCCUGGUUCCUCCCGUCCCAGCCGCUAUGUUUCUUCCUCUGCCCCCUUCCGCCCACAGCUUGGACCCGAACCUCAUCAUCUCCGUACCUGUGUACGAGCCCCCCUUCAGAUUCCCCUCUGCCACCAGAGCCACAGCGCCCGGCCUUUGCACUUCAUCCAGACCUGUGAGGGGAGAGGGUCAGGGAGCACCCAGUGCCUCACCCGUCUUCAGGUACCUGGGCGGUGGAGAGGUCAGCAGUCCAGACCCUUCCCGUCAAGCCUGCUGUCCUCCGAGAUUGGAGUGAGGCCCGACUCUGCUUUUAUUCUACUUGAGUCGGUUUUUCUUCCUUCCGCCAGCAAUCCCGAAGCCCAGCACUACGUGUUGAAACUGUGUCCUGAUGUGUGUGUCAGACAUAAAGUACUGUUACGUGUAUGUUGGUGUCUUUGGUGGACAGGUGCGAUUGUGCUGAUCUUGUAUCCACAUUUUAGCUUUCCAUCCCCCUAGAUGAAACCCUCACCUCGCUUCCAGUUGCCCCACCCUAUGGACAGUCUACAGUGAGGACCCUCCUACAAGGCCCUCUCAGACUACAUGUAAGAGUCUGGGAGGUGCAUGCCCCAGAGUCGGGGUGUUGGCCAGAGGUCACCAGGUAGUGUUAAAGAGGGCUGCUAAAAGUUCUCUAGGCGGACUGUGCUGGUUCACUUCCCACAGUUGACACAGGCUUGCGAGAGCCAAUUGCUAAAUUUUCAGGAAUUUUAUAAGCUUGUCAUUAAACACUGCCAUUGUUAAAAAUGUAACUUCAGGGCUUCCCUGGUGGUGCAGUGGUUGAGAAUCCGCCUGCCAGUGCAGGGGACACGGGUUCAAGCCCUGGUCCGGGAAGAUCCCACAUGCCACAGAGCAACUAAGCCCGUGUGCCACAACUACUGAGCCUGUGCUCUAGAGCCCGUGAGCCACAACUACUGAAGCCUGUGCACCUACAGCCCGUGCUCCGCAACAAGAGAAGCCACCACAGUGAGAAGCCCGUGCACCACAACGAAGAGGAGCCCCCGCUUGCCGCAACUAGAGAAAGCCCACGCGCAGCAACAAAGACCCAAUGCAGCCAUAAAUAAAUA
Long non-coding RNA from Lagenorhynchus albirostris (white-beaked dolphin), 2278 nucleotides. RefSeq lists it as uncharacterized. The record is from RefSeq and is a predicted model, not a curated record. The transcript is spliced from 3 exons. NCBI's taxonomy places the organism in Eukaryota, Metazoa, Chordata, Mammalia, Artiodactyla, Delphinidae.